This 435-nucleotide ribosomal RNA is filed under the name Acanthamoeba genotype T4. RNAcentral's name for it is "SSU rRNA". It matches the Rfam family "Eukaryotic small subunit ribosomal RNA", at positions 766 to 1097 of the family's 1831-position model. Lineage: Eukaryota; Discosea; Longamoebia; Acanthamoebidae. The record is from RNAcentral.
UAGGAGGUCAGCAUGCAGAUUCAAUUUUCUGCCACCGAAUACAUUAGCAUGGGAUAAUGGAAUAGGACCCUGUCCUCCUAUUUUCAGUUGGUUUUGGCAGCGCGAGGACUAGGGUAAUGAUUAAUAGGGAUAGUUGGGGGCAUUAAUAUUUAAUUGUCAGAGGUGAAAUUCUUGGAUUUAUGAAAGAUUAACUUCUGCGAAAGCAUCUGCCAAGGAUGUUUUCAUUAAUCAAGAACGAAAGUUAGGGGAUCGAAGACGAUCAGAUACCGUCGUAGUCUUAACCAUAAACGAUGCCGACCAGCGAUUAGGAGACGUUGAAUACAAAACACCACCAUCGGCGCGGUCGUCCUUGGCGCGUUCGUGUUCACGCACGGGCGCGCGAGGGCGGUUUAGCCCGGUGGCACCGGUGAAUGACUCCCCAGCGCUUGAAAAAAA